UACGUAGGGUGCGAGCGUUGUCCGGAAUUACUGGGCGUAAAGAGCUCGUAGGUGGUUUGUCGCGUUGUUCGUGAAAUCUCACGGCUUAACUGUGGGCGUGCGGGCGAUACGGGCAGACUGGAGUACUGCAGGGGAGACUGGAAUUCCUGGUGUAGCGGUGGAAUGCGCAGAUAUCAGGAGGAACACCGGUGGCGAAGGCGGGUCUCUGGGCAGUAACUGACGCUGAGGAGCGAAAGCGUGGGGAGCGAACAGG
RNAcentral lists this ribosomal RNA (253 nucleotides) under uncultured bacterium. RNAcentral describes it as "partial 16S ribosomal RNA". It matches the Rfam family "Bacterial small subunit ribosomal RNA", at positions 524 to 776 of the family's 1533-position model. The record is from RNAcentral.